This 804-nucleotide long non-coding RNA is filed under the name Anas platyrhynchos platyrhynchos (common mallard). Its description in RNAcentral is "lncRNA (ENSAPLG00000031241.1)". The record is from RNAcentral. Lineage: Eukaryota; Metazoa; Chordata; Aves; Anseriformes; Anatidae.
UUUAGGUCUGAAAAAAUGCUACUUUAUCUAAAUUUGUGAUUCAUUACAACAUAGGACUUUUGAAAUCCUACGUAAUAUCUCUUUUCAGUCUUUGCAUCAGAUAACACAAAUUUUGUCAAAGACUAUUGUACUUUUGCCUGAACAAGUGAAACCAGCUUGUCUACUCAAAGCAAGGUAGUGAACACUGGAAAGCCUGAGGAGGCGUUUGCAUCAAAUGAGUCAUUCCAGAAUGAUGUCAUUGUUGUUUAUGGAGAAACUUAGAAUAAGGUUUGAGGUCAUCUGACCCAGACUUUCAAAGGUAUAUAAGCAGUUGAUCUCACUAAUUUUAGUGGAAGUUGAACACUGUGCCCUUUGUGUUCUGUCAAUCAUGUAUCGCCAAAAGGUCUGUGGGGAUACCAAGUGCUAGGAACUACUCUAAUAAACCAGAAGUGUCUGCCAUAAUGUUAUAAUUUUAUACUGUGAUGUCCUUCAGUUGUCCUCAGCUGAAACCUGAGCUGUCACACUGAGGUGCAGAAGACAAAAGAAAGAAGACAAGGCUUCUCUUCCAAGAUGAUGUUCUAACUGCAGUACUCUGUGGGUGAUCAUUUACUGAGACUCCAAGUGACUUCUCACACCAGAAGAGUAGCAAAAACCCUUAUUAUCUGGGACUGUAUUUCGUUAUCAUAUACCUUCUUGAGACCUCAUACUACAGCGAGGGCAUCUGAAAACAAAACACCAGCAACCUUUUCAGGUUUGUGAAUAACAUUAUUCACUUCUUCUAAACACAGGGCUCCACUAAUCUGUCCUUAUAAGCUAACAAGAGUU